GCCGCCAUCGUCUAAUGGCUAGGACGCCAGGUUCUCAUCCUGGUAAUAGGGGUUCGAUCCCCCUUGGCGGUA
Molecule: transfer RNA, 72 nt
Filed under: Candidatus Magasanikiibacteriota bacterium
Lineage: Bacteria; Candidatus Magasanikiibacteriota
Description: tRNA-Glu
Rfam family: tRNA
About the family: Transfer RNA (tRNA) molecules are approximately 80 nucleotides in length. Their secondary structure includes four short double-helical elements and three loops (D, anti-codon, and T loops).
Source: RNAcentral